RNAcentral lists this unclassified non-coding RNA (225 nucleotides) under Hevea brasiliensis (rubber tree). The record is from RNAcentral. Lineage: Eukaryota; Viridiplantae; Streptophyta; Magnoliopsida; Malpighiales; Euphorbiaceae.
AAAUAAUGAUUACAGUAUGUACCUGCAAUAUGUCAUCAAGCCAAACUUAAGGAGGAAAAAAAGAAUCACAAACAACUUAUCAUGAAAUUCUCAGGAAAAUAAUUAAAAGCUAGCAGAAAUAGCAAUAUGUUUCAAACAAGCUGAACCAUCAAAAGGAAAUCCAAAAGGCACCAAUCAUUCCCUGCAACUCCCAUAGGGAAAGAAAAAGGAGAGAGAGAGAGAGAG